AUGCGAGUGAGCGCCGCGGGGCGAGGCGAGGGCGCGGGCGGCCGCGGCGUUGGGAGCUCCCGGCCCAUCCGCCGCCCCCCCGCCCCGAAAGAAGUGCAGUAGUUUGUGAAGCGCAAGAUGGCGGCGCGGCCGUGAGCGCAGGCGGCGGGCGGGCGGCGGCGCGGGCUGAGGGGGCGAGGCGGACGGCGCCGGCAGGUGGUGGAUGUGGACUUUUAAACUGUGUCUCAACAUCUCAUCCUCAACUAUUUUUAGUCUGAUUGCACUACGAAAGAAAAGCUGCUAAUGGGAUAAAUGUUGAGACUUUACAAGAACUGACUUGAAGUACCGAAAGCCAUUAUUAUUAUUAUUUUAUUAUUACUAUUAUUAAUCAAGAAGAGCUUGAAGCUAAGUCUAUAUCUGAUCAGUUGUU
Molecule: long non-coding RNA, 409 nt
Filed under: Lonchura striata (white-rumped munia)
Lineage: Eukaryota; Metazoa; Chordata; Aves; Passeriformes; Estrildidae
Description: domestica (Bengalese finch) lncRNA (ENSLSDG00000003401.1)
Source: RNAcentral